CCUCCGUCAACAACGUGUGCUCUCCCAACCUCAACACCGGCAACGGCACCGGCGAAGGGGACAUCGCCACACCAGCCUCCACCGGCGGCACCGUGCUGGAGAGGUUGGUGGUGAGCUCCCUGGAAGCUCUAGAGAGCUGUUUUGCUAUGGGCUCCUCCAAUGAAAAGGAGAAGAACAAGGCUGCGGCGUUGGAG
Oncorhynchus masou masou (cherry salmon) is the source of this 194-nucleotide long non-coding RNA. RefSeq lists it as uncharacterized. The transcript has 3 exons. The record is from RefSeq and is a predicted model, not a curated record. Lineage: Eukaryota; Metazoa; Chordata; Actinopteri; Salmoniformes; Salmonidae.